This 296-nucleotide unclassified non-coding RNA is filed under the name uncultured fungus. Its description in RNAcentral is "sequence contains ITS2". The stretch from base 1 to 52 matches the Rfam family "5.8S ribosomal RNA", at positions 103 to 154 of the family's 154-position model. Lineage: Eukaryota; Fungi. The record is from RNAcentral.
AACGCACCUUGCGCUCCUUGGUAUUCCGAGGAGCAUGCCUGUUUGAGUGUCAUUAAAUUCUCAACCUAUCAAGUUUUUAUUAACUUGUUAGGCUUGGAUGUGGGGGUUGCGGGCUUCUCAGAAGUCGGCUCUCCUUAAAUGCAUUAGCGAAACCUUUGUUGACCAUCCCUGGUGUGAUAAUUAUCUACGCCACUGACAAUCAGCUUUAUUAUGGGGUCUUGCUUCUAACCGUCCUUAACUGUGACAACUCUUGACAUUUUGACCUCAAAUCAGGUAGGACUACCCGCUGAACUUAA